GCCCAAUGACUACUCAAAACCCGCCCAUAAGGCCUGAAAACUAGGCCCUUUUUCCAAUAACGUAGUCGAACGAGUUAAGAAGGAAUAUCGACCUCCCUUCUAACCCAAGAAAACUCGAGGAUGUAAUCGCUUCCAAAGAUGCUUCAACAAAGUACCGAGUAAAGAGUCUGAAUACUUAUGUAAAUGUGAUAUUUCAAUUUGUUAUUUUUAAUACAUUUGCAAAAAUGUCCAAAAACUGUUUUUACUUUGUCAUUAUUGUGAUUCGAGGAAAAAAAUAUUUAAUAAAUUUUAGAAUAAAGCUGUAACAUAACAAUGUUGAAAAAGUCAAGGGGUCUGAAUAAUUUCCGAAUGCACUGUAUGAAAACAUGUAUAAUGCUUCACUUGUUAUGAGCAUAUACCUGAAAUGUGUGUAGAGACCUCUCACCUGGUACGUUAGAUUGUAAACAUACAAUAACUGUCAUUCAAGAGGCAUGUUAAAUGUAUUUUUUAAAUAGAUUUGUUUUGCUUAAUGGCCUUGAAUUUGCCGGUCAGCUCGAGAGACGGGGGACAGGACCACGGACUGCCCCAUUGGAUGCUGCAGCAGAGUUUGUGUUUGUUCCGACUGAGAAGGUGAAGAGUGGGAGAUUAUUUCAUCUGCAGUACAACUCCACCAAGGAUCACUACUGCAGGGUGUCCAGUGACAAUGAGGACAUCCAGGGACAAGCCUGUGUGGAGGAAAGAGUCUGUUCAGGAAGCUGAAGAAUGACUGGCAGAUGCUUUGUUUUCCUCCAUGUCAUAAACGAUAAGAUGCCAUGCUCUUAAUGAUUCAAUGCAGUUCUUAUAUUGACACAUCAAUGGGAAUACUUUGUGCUACUUUUCUGUCUUUUUUCUGUUGGUCAGUCUUUGUGAUUGUUAAAGCAAUGGCAUUACUUUUUAGCAGAAAUAAUAAUCUAUUAUUUAUUGAGCAUUUAUCAAUCUAUCCAAACUUGGAUAUGUUGCUUCUAUAGGAUAUGUGUAUAUCAACUGUAAAUGUUCCAUAUUUAUGCUGUCUUAUUCCUGUCAGUAAAUGCACGUUAUGUCCUGUCAGGUGUAUCUAGCUCGUACAGAGGGCUCAUCGUCAGGGAACAUCAGUUGGAAGUUGGACUGUGCUCCUGUAGGGAUGAAGAUAAAGACUGUCUCAGUCAGAAUAUGCAGCCAGACCUUUCACUCUGGAACCGGCCGCUGGGGUCUGCAGUCUGGACAGAACACAACAUCGUUCUCAGGAGGUGGAUGGAGAUGCAUUCUGUUCCGGGUCUUUCUUGAUCCUUGGAGCUGGUCAAGGAGGCGGAGCUAGAUGGAGGAGAGGGAUAGUCGUCAUGGCAACACUCCCAGAUGUUCUGGCGGGCUUUGAAUGAGCCGAAGGAAUCCUGAUUUGAAAUCCUUGUCAAGAUGGAGGAGGACUACGCUUAAUGAGUGUGUUCGAUCGCUCUGAGCAAGGCGCUACGUUGGUUUGCUGAUCUUAAUAAAGCAAUGCGUAGUUAUUUUGGGAUGCAACAUGAUGUAUAGAUCAGUGAUUCUGCUCAGUGCCUUGCUUAAGAUAAUCACCUUGAAUACACCGACUCUGUGCAUAGUCAUGUAUAGUGUGUAUAUUCAUAGGCAUCUUGGUGCUUAUGAGAUAAACGGAGGAGUAGUAGUUUGGUGAUAUUGUUUGUGGGUAUGGAUGGAUGGAUGGUAAGAUAGUCCAAUAAUUAUUCGGGAUCUGUGUGUCUUGAAUCAAUAAUCUUGUAUUGAUUACAGAUCUUGUAAUGAUGCUGCUUGGAUAUUUACUACCAGUAAUGUCGUGAGACCCAGACCCAGCUUCUGUAUGACACAAAAGCCUUUGUUAUCUAGACUGUCUCUGCCAAAAGAGGAGUUACUUACUUGACUUAAUCCUCUUUGAGCCUUUGGGAGCACAUGGCAUCCACCAUGGCUUUCCAACUCAAAGGGGACUAUGGAUCAGUAUGGCCUGGCUGCAACAACCUGCCAUAACAAGGUUCUGGCUCCUGACACAGAAUAGGGAUAUAUGACCUGUGAGCCUAAAGUCCAUCUGCUAUGGAAUUUCCACUCAUUUUUUGAAGAAACCAAUAUUAUAUGUGUAAUUGUUAAAUGUAAUGUUUGAAUGGACACCAGAAAGCCAUGUAACUAUUGAUAGGUUUUUAUGUCUGUAUCCACAUAUGGUUAUGGAUAUACUAGUAUUCUACAUUUAUUUGUGGUGAAUGCAUGUAUUAGUCACAUGCACCGAAUCCCACAGGUGUAGACCUGACAGUGAAAUACUUACAAGCCCCAAACCAACAAUGCAGUUAAAAAAAAAUACAGAUAAGUAUAAGAAAUAAACAUAACAAGUAAUUUAAGAGCAGCAGUAAAAUAACAAGCGCAAGACUAUAUACAGUGGGAUACCGGUACAGAGUCAAUGUGCAGGGGCACUGGUUAGUUGAGGUAAUAUGUACACGUGGGUAGAGUUAUUAAAGUGACUAUGAAUAGAUGAUAACAACAGAGAGUAGCAGCUGUGUAAAAGAGGGGGAGGGCCAAUGCAAAUAGUCUUGGUAGCCAUUUGAUUAGGUGUUCAGGAGUCUUCUGGCUUGGGGUAGAAGCUGUUUAGAAGCUUCUUGGACCUAGACUUGGCGCUCCGAUCCCGCUUGCCCUGCGGUAGCAGAGAGAUUUUUGAGUAGUGAGUAGUCUAUGACUAGGGUGGCUGGAUUCUUUGACAAUUUUUUAGGGCCUUCCUCUGACACCGCCUUGUAUAGAGGUCCUGGAUGGCAGGGAGCUUGGCCCCAGUGAUGUACUGGGCCGUUCACACUAACCUCUGUAAUGCCUUACAGUCGGAGGCGAGCAGUUGCCAUACCAAGCAGUGAUGCAACCAGUCAGGAUGCUCUCGAUGUUGCAGCUGUAGAAUCUUUUGAGGAUCUGGGGACCUAUGACAAAUAUUUUCAGUCUCCUGAGGGGGAUUAGGUUUUGUCGUUCCCUCUUCACGAUUGUCUUGGUGUGCUUGGACCAUGUUAGUUUGUUGGUGAUGUGGACACCAAGGAACUUGAAGCUCUCAACCUGCUCCACUGCAGCCCCUUUGAUGAGAAUGGGGGCGUGCUCAGUCCUCUUUUUCCUGUAGUCCACAAUCAUCUCCUUAGUCUUGAUCACAUUGAGGGAUAGUUUGUUGUUGGAGUUAAUAUGUUCUUGUUCAAAUAUGUAAAUUGUGCAAUCGUUAUAAUAAAUGUUUAUUUUUUACAGAUUAAA
Molecule: long non-coding RNA, 3225 nt
Organism: Salvelinus fontinalis (brook trout)
Lineage: Eukaryota; Metazoa; Chordata; Actinopteri; Salmoniformes; Salmonidae
Exons: 3
Source: RefSeq, a predicted model, not a curated record